This 989-nucleotide ribosomal RNA is filed under the name uncultured bacterium. RNAcentral describes it as "bacterial SSU rRNA". It matches the Rfam family "Bacterial small subunit ribosomal RNA", at positions 48 to 1030 of the family's 1533-position model. The record is from RNAcentral.
GGUAGAAUGCAGUCGAACGGGACAUUAUUUGUAGCAAUACAGAUGAUGUUCAGUGGCGCAAGGGUGCGUAACACGUGAGCAAUCUGCCUUGAAGUGGGGAAUAGCUCGCCGAAAGGCGAAUUAAUACCGCAUGUGGUAGCAAUACUAAAGCCGGGGCAACCUGGCGCUUCUUGAUGAGCUCGCGGCCUAUCAGCUAGUUGGUGAGGUAAUAGCUCACCAAGGCUGUGACGGGUAGCUGGUCUGAGAGGACGACCAGCCACACUGGAACUGAGACACGGUCCAGACACCUACGGGUGGCAGCAGUCGAGAAUUUUUCUCAAUGGGGGAAACCCUGAAGGAGCGACGCCGCGUGGAGGAUGAAGGUCUUCGGAUUGUAAACUCCUGUCAUUGGUGAACAAAGUCACAAGUUAACUGCUUUGUGAUCUGCUAGUAGCCGAAGAGGAAGGGACGGCUAACUCUGUGCCAGCAGCCGCGGUAAUACAGAGGUCCCAAGCGUUGUUCGGAUUCAUUGGGCGUAAAGGGUGCGUAGGCGGUGGGGUAAGUUGGAUGUGAAAUCUUGGGGCUUAACCUCAAAAUUGCAUUCAAUACUGCUCCGCUCGAGUUCUGUAGAGGAGAUUGGAAUUUACGGUGUAGCAGUGAAAUGCGUAGAUAUCGUAAGGAACGCCAGUGGCGAAAGCGAAUCUCUGGGCAGCAACUGACGCUGAGGCACGAAGGCCAGGGGAGCAAACGGGAUUAGAUACCCCGGUAGUCCUGGCAGUAAACGGUGCGCGUUUGGUGUGGGCAGGUUCGACCCUGUCCGCGCCGAAGCUAACGCAUUAAACGCGCCGCCUGGGAAGUACGAUCGCAAGAUUAAAACUCAAAGAAAUUGACGGGGGCCCGCACAAGCGGUGGAGUAUGUGGCUUAAUUCGAUGCAACGCGAAGAACCUUACCUAGGCUUGACAUGCAUCUCUAAAUCGGUGAAAACCCGCCAAGUGUAACAAUACACAAU